Molecule: ribosomal RNA, 489 nt
Filed under: uncultured Gammaproteobacteria bacterium
Lineage: Bacteria; Pseudomonadati; Pseudomonadota; Gammaproteobacteria
Description: bacterial SSU rRNA
Rfam family: Bacterial small subunit ribosomal RNA
Source: RNAcentral
AUUGAACGCUGGCGGCAUGCCUAACACAUGCAAGUCGAACGGAAACGAUGGGAGCUUGCUCCCAGGCGUCGAGUGGCGGACGGGUGAGUAACACAUAGGAAUCUGCCCAGUAGCGGGGGACAACUUGGGGAAACUCAAGCUAAUACCGCAUACGCCCUACGGGGGAAAGCGGGGGACCUUCGGGCCUCGCACUAUUGGAUGAGCCUAUGUCAGAUUAGCUUGUUGGUGGGGUAAUGGCCUACCAAGGCGACGAUCUGUAGCUGGUCUGAGAGGACGAUCAGCCACACUGGGACUGAGACACGGCCCAGACUCCUACGGGAGGCAGCAGUGGGGAAUAUUGCACAAUGGGCGAAAGCCUGAUGCAGCAAUGCCGCGUGUGUGAAGAAGGCCUGCGGGUUGUAAAGCACUUUCAGUGGGGAGGAAACAGUUGCGGGUUAAUAUCCCGCGACCUUGACGUUACCCACAGAAGAAGCACCGGCUAACUCUGUG